GACGAACGCUGGCGGCGUGCUUAACACAUGCGAGUCGAACGGAAAGGCCCUGCUUGCCGGGUACUCGAGUGGCGAACGGGUGAGUAACACGUGGGUGAUCUGCCCUGCACUUCGGGAUAAGCCUGGGAAACUGGGUCUAAUACCGGAUAUGACCUUCCAUGUAGUGUGGGGGGUGGAAAGAUUUAUCGGUGUGGGAUGAGCCCGCGGCCUAUCAGCUUGUUGGUGGGGUAAUGGCCUACCAAGGCGUCGACGGGUAGCCGGCCUGAGAGGGUGGACGGCCACAUUGGGACUGAGAUACGGCCCAGACUCCUACGGGAGGCAGCAGUGGGGAAUAUUGCACAAUGGGCGGAAGCCUGAUGCAGCGACGCCGCGUGGGGGAUGACGGCCUUCGGGUUGUAAACCUCUUUCGACAGGGACGAAGCUUCGGUGACGGUACCUGUAGAAGAAGCACCGGCUAACUACGUG
This 465-nucleotide ribosomal RNA is filed under the name uncultured bacterium. RNAcentral's name for it is "partial 16S ribosomal RNA". It matches the Rfam family "Bacterial small subunit ribosomal RNA", at positions 28 to 507 of the family's 1533-position model. The record is from RNAcentral.